GUGGGUCCGGGGCACGUGGGGCUCUGGUACCUGUCCUGGGCACAGCAGGAGGAGGAGAGCCCCACGGAGCCAUCUGCGUGGGGGUGGUGGUGGCCCCCAGGGCAGGCAGUGAUGGCAGUGAGGGUUCCUCAUGUGCCGAGCCCCCUCUUGCCUCCCACAGCAUCCCUCCUGCGCGUGCCCUGCGAGCUGGUGCUGGACAUGGGGUUUGUCCCUGCCCUGCAGGACCCCGCAUCCCGCGAGCGCCGUGGUCUGCUGCACAGCUUCAACAGAACGGUGAGCCUGGGGCUGGGGCUUUUGGGGGGGCUGUGGUGGGGGGGGACAACGGGCUGCAUCCCACCCAGCUUCCUCCCCGCACAGGUCGCGCCCCUGUUCAUGUCGGUGCCCGGCUUCCUGCGGCUGGAGGUGACGGGGAUCAGGGAGGGCAGCGUGGUGCUGGAGUACGAUGCGCUGUUUGCAGCAGAGCGGGUGCGGGCGCCGGGGCUGGGAGCGCUCCUCGAGUCUGCGCUGGGCCCUGGUGGCACCCGGCCGGGGCUGGCGGUGGGCGCUGCCCCCGUCCUGCGCAACGUGGCCCUGGAGCGGCCGCUGGACCCCUGUGCUGAGCUCUUCGCCUGCCGGGCCGGCUUCGCCUGCGUGGCUGGGGCAGACGGGAACGCCACCUGCACGUCCCUCUGCCACCGCGACUACUGCAAGAACCACGGCAUCUGCACACACCCCCGGGACCGGGGGCCGCUCUGCCAGUGAGUGCUGGGGGUGGAAGGGACCGGGCCGUGCACCCACCCCCGGGCUGGGGGUGCCUGUGGCUGAUGCCCCCCCCUUGCUGCAGGUGUCCCGUUGGCAGCGAUUUCUGGUUCAUGGGGCUGCGCUGCGACUACCGGGUGACACAGCAGAGCCUGCUGGGC
RNAcentral lists this long non-coding RNA (899 nucleotides) under Anas platyrhynchos platyrhynchos (common mallard). Its description in RNAcentral is "lncRNA (ENSAPLG00000027787.1)". Lineage: Eukaryota; Metazoa; Chordata; Aves; Anseriformes; Anatidae. The record is from RNAcentral.